CGAGGAAGACCUCGAUGCCGCCGGCCCGCG
This 30-nucleotide non-coding RNA is filed under the name Actinoplanes sp. SE50/110. The record is from RNAcentral. Lineage: Bacteria; Bacillati; Actinomycetota; Actinomycetes; Micromonosporales; Micromonosporaceae.